This 493-nucleotide long non-coding RNA is filed under the name Corvus moneduloides (New Caledonian crow). Its description in RNAcentral is "lncRNA (ENSCMUG00000017413.1)". The record is from RNAcentral. Lineage: Eukaryota; Metazoa; Chordata; Aves; Passeriformes; Corvidae.
CGCGUGCCACAGGUCGCGGCUCUGAGGGGCUCAGGGAGCUCCCGGCACGGCAGCGGACACAUCCAGUGCAAUCUCCUGCGUGUAAUUCUAGAUGAAGGUUCAUUCAACCCCCCCAGUUUCUGUAGUUUUAAAAGCUGUUUUAACCUUUUCCCUACGCCCUUGACACGGUAGCGGGGAGCAGCGCCCCGUGUGCCAUUCCCUGUUGGUCGGUUGCCCCGAGGCCCCCCUGCGCCGCUGCUCGCGGCGAUCCGCUCGGGCCGGGGCACGGGGGACAGAUGCCGGCGGCAGGGAGCGGAACGGGCGGGUUCCGGGCCGGCGCGCGGGCCCCCAGGGGCUGAUGUGCCGCCGCAGCUGGGCCGCGCGAGAGGCCGGAUCGCUGGAUGGGGGCAAUAAGGAGCUGGGCGGUAAUUGCCUGUUUGACGUUUCCGAGAUGCGAAGCGCGGCUGAACGGCAAGCCUGGAGUGCCCUUCAGGAGGUCAUCCUCCCAGGCUAG